GAAAAUUUAGUUAAUUUAUAACAUCAGCUUGUCAAGCUGGAAUUACCCUAUACCCAGAGUAAUUUUCA
Molecule: transfer RNA, 68 nt
Filed under: Catomerus polymerus
Lineage: Eukaryota; Metazoa; Arthropoda; Thecostraca; Balanomorpha; Catophragmidae
Description: tRNA-Asp
Source: RNAcentral